AGAGUUUGAUCCUGGCUCAGGAUGAACGCUAGCGGCAGGCUUAACACAUGCAAGUCGAAGGGCAACGGGGAGAGUGCUUGCACUCUCCGCCGGCGACUGGCGCACGGGUGAGUAACACGUAUGCAACCUGCCCUCCACAGGGGGACAACCUUCCGAAAGGGAGGCUAAUCCCGCGUAUAUCCCUUGGGGGCAUCCUUGGGGGAGGAAAGGAUUACCGGUGGAGGAUGGGCAUGCGGCGCAUUAGGCAGUAGGCGGGGUAACGGCCCACCUAACCGACGAUGCGUAGGGGUUCUGAGAGGAAGGUCCCCCACACUGGUACUGAGACACGGACCAGACUCCUACGGGAGGCAGCAGUGAGGAAUAUUGGUCAAUGGGCGGGAGCCUGAACCAGCCAAGCCGCGUGAAGGAAGAAGGCGCCAAGCGUCGUAAACUUCUUUUGUCGGGGAACAAAGGGCGCCACGUGUGGCGUUGUGAGUGUACCCGAAGAAAAAGCAUCGGCUAACUCCGUGCCAGCAGCCGCGGUAAUACGGAGGAUGCGAGCGUUAUCCGGAUUUAUUGGGUUUAAAGGGUGCGUAGGCGGUCCGGAAAGUCAGCGGUAAAAGCCCGGGGCUCAACCCCGGCGAGCCGUUGAAACUGUCGGACUAGAGACGGCGAGAAGUACGCGGAAUGCGCGGUGUAGCGGUGAAAUGCAUAGAUAUCGCGCAGAACUCCGAUUGCGAAGGCAGCGUACCGGCGCCGGACUGACGCUGAGGCACGAAAGCGUGGGUAUCGAACAGGAUUAGAUACCCUGGUAGUCCACGCAGUAAACGAUGAAUGCCGGCUGUCCGGCCCGGAAAAGGGCUGGGUGGCGAAGCGAAAGCGAUAAGCAUUCCACCUGGGGAGUACGCCGGCAACGGUGAAACUCAAAGGAAUUGACGGGGGCCCGCACAAGCGGAGGAACAUGUGGUUUAAUUCGAUGAUACGCGAGGAACCUUACCCGGGCUCAAACGACACUGGAAUACUUUUGAAAGGAGGUAGCCAGCAAUGGCCAGUGUCGAGGUGCUGCAUGGUUGUCGUCAGCUCGUGCCGUGAGGUGUCGGCUUAAGUGCCAUAACGAGCGCAACCCCUAUCUUCAGUUGCUAACAGGUCAAGCUGAGGACUCUGGAGAGACUGCCGGCGCAAGCUGCGAGGAAGGCGGGGAUGACGUCAAAUCAGCACGGCCCUUACGUCCGGGGCGACACACGUGUUACAAUGGCAGGUACAGCGGGAAGCCACCUGGCGACAGGGAGCGGAACCCGAAAACCUGUCUCAGUUCGGAUUGGAGUCUGCAACUCGACUCCAUGAAGUUGGAUUCGCUAGUAAUCGCGGAUCAGCAUGCCGCGGUGAAUACGUUCCCGGGCCUUGCACUCACCGCCCGUCAAG
RNAcentral lists this ribosomal RNA (1401 nucleotides) under uncultured bacterium. RNAcentral's name for it is "bacterial SSU rRNA". It matches the Rfam family "Bacterial small subunit ribosomal RNA". The record is from RNAcentral.